AUGCUCUGGAGAUGGACGGCUAGUGGCACCUAUACGGCACGGUCAUGCUACGCUGCAACCUUCCAGGGAUCCAUGAAAUGCCCCUCCUGGAAGCUUACCUGGAAGAGCUGGGCACCGCGCCGUGUCCAUUUCUUUCACUGGUUGGCUAGCCAGGAUCGGUGUUGGACGGCGGAUCGACUCGCCCGUCGCGGCCUAUAG
Molecule: ribosomal RNA, 198 nt
Filed under: Triticum aestivum (bread wheat)
Lineage: Eukaryota; Viridiplantae; Streptophyta; Magnoliopsida; Poales; Poaceae
Description: partial small subunit ribosomal RNA
Source: RNAcentral